UACGUAGGGGGCAAGCGUUAUCCGGAUUUACUGGGUGUAAAGGGAGCGUAGACGGCGAUGCAAGUCUGAAGUGAAAGCCCGGGGCUCAACCCCGGGACUGCUUUGGAAACUGUAUGGCUGGAGUGCUGGAGAGGCAAGCGGAAUUCCUAGUGUAGCGGUGAAAUGCGUAGAUAUUAGGAAGAACACCAGUGGCGAAGGCGGCUUGCUGGACAGUAACUGACGUUGAGGCUCGAAAGCGUGGGGAGCAGACAGG
RNAcentral lists this ribosomal RNA (253 nucleotides) under uncultured bacterium. RNAcentral describes it as "partial 16S ribosomal RNA". It matches the Rfam family "Bacterial small subunit ribosomal RNA", at positions 524 to 776 of the family's 1533-position model. The record is from RNAcentral.